This 309-nucleotide ribosomal RNA is filed under the name uncultured eukaryote. RNAcentral describes it as "partial 18S ribosomal RNA". It matches the Rfam family "Eukaryotic small subunit ribosomal RNA", at positions 1470 to 1796 of the family's 1831-position model. The record is from RNAcentral.
CCCUUAGAUGUUCUGGGCGGCCCGCGAACUACAUUGGCACUCUCAAUAAGUUCCUAGAUCUAAAACUUUGGGGUAUUCUAUUAAGUGGUGUCGUGACUGGGAUUAACCCUUGCAAUUAUUGGUUACGAACGAGGAAUUCCUUGUAAUCGCGGUUUAUCAGCCCGCGUUGAAUGCGUCCCUGCCCUUUGUACACACCGCCCGUCGCUCCUACCGAUGAAUCGUCCGGUGAAGUUCAUGGAGUGGUGGUUGUUCCAGCUGCUGUCGAAGUGAAAUGGACCUCACGAUUUAGAGGAAGGAGAAGUCGUAACA